UAACUUGCACCAAGUCAUGUAGCUAAUAAGCGGAAGGGCUGGUUUUUGAGCCCUGCUGAUCUAUUCGGGUGAGGCCAUAGGCACCUGAGCAGGGAUGGAGGCCUGUGAGUUACUAUGGAAAGUGGAUAUGCAGAGGAAUGCUGUGGUUGGAAUGCAGAGCUGGGUGGUUGGUGCUAAGGCAGGGUGCUCCUAACUGCAGGUGAAGACUCAUUAGUGGAAGGGGAAAUCAAUUCAGGAAGGUAAAUCAUCCUCAGAGGCAGUAGCCAUUACAGGCAUGUCGGGGAAGCCAAGAAAGAGAUCUUUUUCUCAGCCUUUAGGACGUAGCUGGGCUUACAGGAACUACUUGCCCAGACUCCACCUCUUGAGUUCCCAGUACAUCCUUACCUACCCAGUGAUCAUGUCCUGAUCAAGACCUGAAAGGAGGACAAACUUGAGCCAGCCUGGGAAGGACCUUAUCAGGUGCUCUUCACAACUGAGACGGCUGUCUGCACCGCAGAGAAAGGUUGGACCCACUACACUCAUACCAUGUGGUCAUACCAUGUGGUAGUCUUGCCAGCCAAAGACAACUUUCCGCCGAACAUAAGUACCUUUGCCCUUCUCUAGAGAGAGACCCCCCUUGCCCUUUCUGGAGUAUGGUAUGGUGGACUACUCAAGCACAAUGGGUGGGCAGCUCCAACAUACAAAUAUGGUCAGUGGGGAGCCCUCUCAGUGGCUCCUUGGCUGGCAUCACAAAGGAGUCUAAUAUCUCUAGUACAGGGGACUCCACCUCACGACUGUCAGAACUUACAAUGUAAUCUGCUUCUAUUAACCCUUAAACCAGGAAGUAAAUUAAUCUUUCCACAGUGGUUUGGUCUUGGUGCAGACAUAUCAGGCAGAGACCCCAUAGGAACGUUAGGCAUCCAAUUUGUUACCCAGCCAAAGCCCUUUCUGAAUCCUAGUUCCCCCAGUCAGAGUCCUAACUAGGUUGAACCAAUAAGUCAUAACCAAUUCCUCAACUCCAGUAAUGACCCUAACAAAGUCACCAUAGUAGAGGUUAAGGACCUUCACCAAACUAUAAAGAUUGAGGUUGGAUAUGGGGAGGCAAAUGCUUGGCUGGAAUAGAUUAAAUAUUCUGUCCACACUCUAAACAAAAGUGACUGUUAUGUUUGAGCGGCAGGGAGGCUGGAAGCUCAAGUAGUGCUGUUUCCACUUGGAUGGAUCUGGGACACUGUGGGCAUGGAAUGCUUGAUAGCCCUCUUUCAGGACAGCCAAGCCUGAGGCAAUGAAUCUUGUAGGACCUUUUCACUGCUGUUCCCAACUGCAAAAGGUCCAAACAAGGUCUCCUAAAAUGGUCAAGCCCCCAGCCCGGAAUAUUAACUACACCUCAUGCCUCUCCAGAUGGGGGGAGCAGUCAGCAUUUCUGGAAAUGUGACUGAGUUCAAUGAAGGCCAGUCCUUUGAGGAGCUAAGUAAUCAGUCUACACUGACUGUAGCCACAGCAGACAUCUAGUGGUAUUGCAGAGGGCCAUUGCUUGAGACUUUACCAGCCGAUUGGAGUGGAACUUGCACUCUAGUUCAAUUGGCCAUCUCUUUCACCUUGGCAUUUCAAUACCCUAAUCCAGGGGUGAGCAACAUGGCAUGCCAGUAACUUUUGCUGGCACGCGAAACCCUCUCUUAAAAUCUUCCAUUUACAAUUUUUGUGAACAUUUGAAUGACUUAAAUGUUAAAUUACAAGGAACUGACAAGA
Myotis myotis is the source of this 1725-nucleotide long non-coding RNA. RefSeq lists it as uncharacterized. The transcript is spliced from 4 exons. Lineage: Eukaryota; Metazoa; Chordata; Mammalia; Chiroptera; Vespertilionidae. The record is from RefSeq and is a predicted model, not a curated record.